GCUCGUAGUUGGAUUUCUGGCAGGGUGACUCUGCCCUCUUGAUGAGUGCGCAGUGUUGCCCUACCAUCCUUCUGUUAACCCUUUAGGCCUUAAAAAGUCUUUUGGGGGCUCAGAUAUUUUACCUUGAGAAAAUUAGAGUGUUUCAGGCAGGCUAGCGCCGGAAUACAUUAGCAUGGAAUAAUAGAAUAGGACUUUUACCUCUUCUGUUGGUCUGAGGGGUUCAAGUAAUGAUUAAUAGGGAUAGUUGGGGGCAUUAGUACUUUACUGUCAGAGGUGAAAUUCUCGGAUUUGUAAAAGACUAACUUAUGCGAAAGCAUUUGCCAAGGAUGUUUUCAUUAAUCAAGAACGAAAGUUAGGGGAUCAAAUACGAUCAGAUACCGUCGUAGUCUCAACCAUAAACUAUACCGACUCAGGAUGCGUGAACGUUGUUUUAUUGACUUCAUGCGCACUGUAUGAGAAAAUCAAAGUCUUUGGGUUCUGGGGGGGAGUAUGGUCGCAAGGCUGAAAACUUAAAGGAAUUGACGGGAAGGGCACCACCAGGGAGUGGAGCCUGCGGCUUUAUUUUGACUCAACACGGGGAAAACUUACCAGGUCCGGGACAUAGUGAGGAUUGACAGAUUGAAGAUCUUUCUUGAUUCUAUGGGGUGGUGGUGCAUGGCCGUUCUUAGUUGGUGGAGUGAUUUGUCUGGGUUAAUUCCGUUAACGAACGAGACCUCGACCUGCUAAAUAGCUACCCCGUUUCACAACGGUAUAGCUUCUUAGAGGGACUUUAGCAGCGAAGGCUACAGGAAGUUCGAGGCAAUAACAGGUCUGUGAUGCCUUUAGAUGUCUGGGCCGCACGCCCCCUACACUGACAAGUUCAUCGAGAUUCAC
RNAcentral lists this ribosomal RNA (873 nucleotides) under uncultured eukaryote. RNAcentral's name for it is "bacterial SSU rRNA". It matches the Rfam family "Eukaryotic small subunit ribosomal RNA", at positions 626 to 1525 of the family's 1831-position model. The record is from RNAcentral.